GAUAGGCCGGGUGUGUAAGCGCAGCGAUGCGUUGAGCUAACCGGUACUAAUGAACCGUGAGGCUUAACCUUACAACGCCGAAG
Molecule: ribosomal RNA, 83 nt
Filed under: Escherichia coli
Lineage: Bacteria; Pseudomonadati; Pseudomonadota; Gammaproteobacteria; Enterobacterales; Enterobacteriaceae
Also listed under: 14 other names
Description: partial 23S ribosomal RNA
Source: RNAcentral